RNAcentral lists this long non-coding RNA (713 nucleotides) under Nilaparvata lugens (brown planthopper). RNAcentral's name for it is "uncharacterized LOC120356312, transcript variant X3". The record is from RNAcentral. Lineage: Eukaryota; Metazoa; Arthropoda; Insecta; Hemiptera; Delphacidae.
CUCUUUUCACAGUUGUUUUGCUUGUUGGUUCUUGUCGUUGUGAUGAUUGUGAAUGGUGGAUUUGAUAUUGUAAAUUGUAAUAAUAAUUAUUAUUUGAUGAUUGAAGUGCUAUUUAUUAGUUAUUUUAACCGAUUGAAGUGUGAAGCGACGACACAGUCGGCAGUCAACAGCAACGCAUCGAAUGCAACUUGGCAUCCUGUCAUGGACCACAGCUUUCAAUGACCUCAUCACUUGACAGGUUGAACGAUCAGUUGUUGGGGAUUAUAAGGGAGGGGGACUCUUGACUGUGGAAUGAAGAACUAGACUAGUUGCUAACAGUGAGCAGAAUGGGAGAGAACGAGGGAGAAGUUGAAGAUCAUCACUGCAUGUCUCCGGAACAUUCAAGCGAGCGAAGUGAGUUCUCACCACUUGAGACCUUCACUAUGUCGCCUCGCGAAGUGAGUUCUCAUCCCCUGUUGCAGUCUCCAUUCAUCUGGAUUGCGUGGAACGCGAGUUGGCGGCAGUCACAUUAACUCUGGCAUUCAAUCACAUUAUUUCCAUGUUAUCAAAUUAUUCGGCAUUUUAUGAUGUAGGCCUCAUCUUACGUUCAUCUUUUGAUUUUAUGUUUUAUUCAUCAGUAAUUAAAUCUCAUUUUCUGUUUUUAAAAUCAUGUAGUUUUUGUUUUCAUUUUAUGUUUUAUUCGUAAGUAAUAAACUAACAUUUUAUGUUUACUA